RNAcentral lists this ribosomal RNA (306 nucleotides) under uncultured bacterium. RNAcentral describes it as "partial 16S ribosomal RNA". It matches the Rfam family "Bacterial small subunit ribosomal RNA", at positions 507 to 809 of the family's 1533-position model. The record is from RNAcentral.
GACAGCAGCCGCCGCGGUAAUGCGAAGGGGGCUAGCGUUGUUCGGAUUUACUGGGCGUAAAGGGCGCGUAGGCGGACUGAUAAGUCAGGGGUGAAAUCCCAGAGCUCAACUCUGGAACUGCCUUUGAUACUGGGUAUCUUGAGUAUGGAAGAGGUGAGUGGAAUUCCGAGUGUAGAGGUGAAAUUCGUAGAUAUUCGGAGGAACACCAGUGGCGAAGGCGGCUCACUGGUCCAUUACUGACGCUGAGGUGCGAAAGCGUGGGGAGCAAACAGGAUUAGAUACCCGGGUAGUCCCUGUCUCUUAUAU